Small nuclear RNA from Acomys russatus (golden spiny mouse), 121 nucleotides. NCBI's taxonomy places the organism in Eukaryota, Metazoa, Chordata, Mammalia, Rodentia, Muridae. The record is from RefSeq and is a predicted model, not a curated record.
GCACUGUAUGAAGAUGAUUAGCACUCCACUUGGCAAAGAUGGAAGAGGUCCUCAGGCCUAACAGAACUCAUACAGUUAAGGCAUUCCCACCUCCUUUGUACCAUCUCAUCAACAUGUUUCA